This 460-nucleotide ribosomal RNA is filed under the name uncultured bacterium. RNAcentral describes it as "partial 16S ribosomal RNA". It matches the Rfam family "Bacterial small subunit ribosomal RNA", at positions 338 to 795 of the family's 1533-position model. The record is from RNAcentral.
CCUACGGGUGGCAGCAGUGAGGAAUAUUGGUCAAUGGACGAGAGUCUGAACCAGCCAAGUAGCGUGAAGGAUGACUGCCCUAUGGGUUGUAAACUUCUUUUAUAUGGGAAUAAAACGUUCCACGUGUGGGAUUUUGUAUGUACCAUAUGAAUAAGGAUCGGCUAAAUCCGUGCCAGCAGCCGCGGUAAUACGGAGGAUCCGAGCGUUAUCCGGAUUUAUUGGGUUUAAAGGGAGCGUAGGUGGAUUGUUAAGUCAGUUGUGAAAGUUUGCGGCUCAACCGUAAAAUUGCAGUUGAAACUGGCAGUCUUGAGUACAGUAGAGGUGGGCGGAAUUCGUGGUGUAGCGGUGAAAUGCUUAGAUAUCACGAAGAACUCCGAUUGCGAAGGCAGUUCACUGGACUGCAACUGACACUGAGGCUCGAAAGUGUGGGUAUCAAACAGGAUUAGAUACCCUUGUAGUC